GAUGAAGAACGCAGCGAAUCGCGAUAAGUAAUGUGAAUUGCAGAUUUUCCGUGAAUCAUCGAAUCUUUGAACGCACCUUGCGCUCCUUGGUAUUCCGAGGAGCAUGCCUGUUUGAGUGUCAUCGAAACCUCGGAUCGACGCUUCGACCCCGUCGAAGCUCGGUUCGGACUGUGGGAGUCUGCCGGCGAAGCGUGACUUCGUCGGCUCUCCUCAAAAGCAUUAGCUGUGGGUGGCGAGCCUGGCAUGGCACGGCCUGUUCGACGUCGUAGUGAUCGUCGGGGGCUGGAAGUGUAUGGCUCGACGUGACCCAUGCUUCUCGAGUCUUGCGAGCCCGUCCCUCUGUGGGACGGCCGCGCCCCAUCGAAGCUUGACCUCAAAUCAGGUAGGACUACCCGCCGAACUUAAGCAUAUCAAUAAGCGGAGGA
This 425-nucleotide unclassified non-coding RNA is filed under the name soil metagenome. RNAcentral's name for it is "partial contains 5.8S ribosomal RNA, internal transcribed spacer 2, and large subunit ribosomal RNA". The stretch from base 1 to 121 matches the Rfam family "5.8S ribosomal RNA", at positions 35 to 154 of the family's 154-position model. The record is from RNAcentral.